Molecule: long non-coding RNA, 1565 nt
Organism: Schistocerca piceifrons (Central American locust)
Lineage: Eukaryota; Metazoa; Arthropoda; Insecta; Orthoptera; Acrididae
Exons: 4
Source: RefSeq, a predicted model, not a curated record
CCACUACUCCAUUCCCUUGUAGGCUUGCAGCAAGCUAUUGUGGCGAUAGGUCUGCUCUCUGGCUGUUACGCUUCAUCAUCGUGAAUUGUAAGAUGUCCAGCGAAUCUGAGACAGAUUUUCUGUGGAGCGACGAGGAGCUGGAAAUGUUACAACCUCAAAAAAAGACAGAGGAUUGAAAAUUAUGUGGAGGAUGUGGUGCCACAAUAUGACAGGGAAUUUGUAGAGCAUUUUCGGGUGCGGCGUCACGUGGCAGAUGACCUUUGCGAAAGGUUUAGGAAUUCCAGAUUCUACAAUUAUCAGGCAGGGGGAAAUGGGAAACUGCUCCCACUGCAGCAUAUAUUGAUCUUUUUGUGGUUCACGGGCCACGAAGCUGCAGGUUUCAGGGAUGUAGCAGAUUUAACAUUUGUAUUUCUUCUCUGCGAUGCGUUAUUCAGAGAGUUACAAACUUUAUUAGUGGUUUGGGAAGAGAGGUUAUAAAGUGGCCGUCCGCCGAAGAAAGAGCAGAGAUUGAGGCUCAUUGCCUGGUGCGAUUGGGGCAAUCGACGAUUCCCACAUUAGGAUUGAUAGACCUCAGAAAGAUCCCCAGUCCUAUAUGAAUACGAAGAAUUAUUUUUCUAUUCAGCUUCAAGUAGUUUGUGAUCAAAAUCGACGGAUUAGGGACUUAUUCGUCGGCUAUCCGGGCUCUGUACACGACGGGAGGGUUUUCAGGACGUCCACACUCUACCACACACUCGAAGAAAAGUGUGGAGAUUUUCAUAUUCUGGGUGACAGUGCCUAUCCCUGCACCAGAAAUUUAUUAACACCCUUUAGAAAUACAGGGAAUUUGUCCAGAGUGCAAUGUGAAUUCAAUAGGGCACAGUCAAAAAAAACAGGUGCGUUGUGGAACAUUGCUUUGGCAUGUUGAAGCAGCGUUUCAGACAGUUGUAUCAUCUGAAAUUGAGGAGUGCUAGAGAGAUGGCGCACUUCAUCCGGGCGUGCUGUGUGCUACACAAUCUCGCCGUGGAAGAUAACUUGGAGUUAGAAGAUAACGAAGGUGAAGAAGACGAUGCACCGGCUGAAGAACGAGUAGUCGGCUUCUACAACAGGGAUGACAGAAGUGGCAUUGCAAAGAGAAAUAUGAUUGCAGCACAGUUGCAAAUGUAAAAGCAGCACCAGAUGCCCCAUCACCAACAUAUUACAACAAAUGGUGUUGGCUCAUUGUUUUUACAGGUUGAAGCUGAGGGCAUCAGAUGUCGCGUCUGUGAAGAGCAACGGAGGAGUAGUGAUUAUAAACUGUAAUUUUGAACUGUGCAUUUGGUGAUUAUAGUUUCAGUGUAAUUGUGACUUGUCUUUGUGUUUGUAGUUAAGUUGUAAUUGGGAACUGUGCAUUUGAGUAUAUUAUAAAUUUUAAUUGUAUAUUGUAACAUCCCACCCUCCUCUGCCAUCCUGAUCUGGGUCUUCCAUGGUUUCGCCAGAUAGUGUCAGGCGAAUGCCAGGAUGGGUCCCUAAGUCCAUGGCAGUUGUUCCAGUACCCUUUGUAUGCUUAUUUAUAAUAUUGGAACAAUUAAAGUGUUAAAAAAAUGAAA